This 77-nucleotide ribozyme is filed under the name Rhodnius prolixus. RNAcentral describes it as "drz-agam-1 ribozyme". It matches the Rfam family "drz-agam-1 ribozyme". The record is from Rfam by way of RNAcentral. Lineage: Eukaryota; Metazoa; Arthropoda; Insecta; Hemiptera; Reduviidae.
GGGGGGCAAAAUCCGAUCUCUACCUCCACGUGGUGCCCCCUGGUCAACUGCUCUAAAGAGCAGGCCAACAGAGACGG